AAGAAAGGAGAAAGUGAACCUAGCACCCAAGUGCAGGUUCCAAUGGGAGCAGAGGAAGCUCCAAGAAAGAGCACAGCUUUUGUGUAUGAUCUGUUGCACGCAGGUGUAUGAAAUUUUGUUAUCUAUAAAACUGUUUAUGGAGCAAUACACUUGCAUACCAGGGUCUGAGAUGGGGAUGAAGCUUCAGAGAUGAAAGAUAUGGUGUUAGGAGACUAGAUCUGGUCGGAAGCCAGGCUGCAAGCUCCUGAGGACAGCUGGCAUCCCUGAGCUCGCUCGCUACUGGAUCCCCAGCAGUUAAAAUGAUGAAUGAAUGAGUAACUGCAAUUCAGUGGAGUCGGUUGACUCAAGGAUGGACUUAAGUCAGAGAGCUGAGCAAGAGGCUCGGGAAGGGAAGAGCCAGGCAGGAGGAACAGCGUGUGCAAAGACAUGAUGGUGAGGCUUGGAUUGGGCAAGAGCUUGGAUUCUUUCAGGAAGCCCUUGGAGGAUUCUAAGUAUCCAACCAACAUGAUCUGAUUUGCAUUUUAGAUCAUCUAUAUGGAGAAUGCCUUUGUUCAUUCUACUUCUUAACACAUUUCAUAAACAAGCCCUGCUGUACACGAGCGCUGCGCUGGGUCUAGACAGGCCCCAUCCAGAGGAAACACAAUUCUUUGAAAUCUGGAGUUUUACUUGUACAGCACAUCUCCAUGUGUCCUUGGCACAUUUCAAGUGUUCAGUGUCUCCGAGACAAGCCGCUGCCAUACUGAAUGGUGUACGGGGUACCAAACGUGUGGCCAAGGGGCAACUGGCAAUACCAGGAGACAUUUUGACUGUCACAACUUGGGGAAAGGGUACUCCUGGCAUCUCAUGAGUAGAGGCCACAGAUGCUGCUAACAUGGCGCAUGGCACAGCAACAAAGAUUUAUCCAGCCAGAAACAUCAGCAGUACUGAGGUUGAAGAACCCAGAUCCAGAGAGAUGCCAUAGAGUCUUGCAGUGAGCCCUGAGAUGCCCUGGCAUUUAAGGACUCCUGGCUGAUGUCAUCUCUAAAUAUGCAGCUUUAAUUGCUCCUCUCUACAGCAGCAAGGGAAAAGGAGAUCUUCGUUUCUUGUUUUCAGCAC
RNAcentral lists this long non-coding RNA (1095 nucleotides) under Heterocephalus glaber (naked mole-rat). RNAcentral's name for it is "lncRNA (ENSHGLG00000050427.1)". Lineage: Eukaryota; Metazoa; Chordata; Mammalia; Rodentia; Bathyergidae. The record is from RNAcentral.